AGGGAUCAUUAACACGUUUAUUCAACGUUUAACUAUACCAAUCAACCGCGUGAAACAACUGAAUCAACCAAACCCCUUUCACCACACUAUAAUUACUGACUGAUAUGUUAUUUAAGCUAUGGUCUGAUGCGCUUGCGUAUUGGAUUGUAGUGUACAGUAGCAAAACUUAAUCAAAUAUCUAAGCACAACUCUUAGCAACGGAUAUCUUGGUUCUC
Molecule: unclassified non-coding RNA, 215 nt
Filed under: uncultured fungus
Lineage: Eukaryota; Fungi
Description: partial contains 18S rRNA, ITS1, 5.8S rRNA, ITS2 and 28S rRNA
Source: RNAcentral